AUACAUGCAAGUCGAGCGGACAGAAGGGAGCUUGCUCCCGGAUGUUAGCGGCGGACGGGUGAGUAACACGUGGGUAACCUGCCUGUAAGACUGGGAUAACUCCGGGAAACCGGAGCUAAUACCGGAUAGUUCCUUGAACCGCAUGGUUCAAGGAUGAAAGACGGUUUCGGCUGUCACUUACAGAUGGACCCGCGGCGCAUUAGCUAGUUGGUGAGGUAACGGCUCACCAAGGCGACGAUGCGUAGCCGACCUGAGAGGGUGAUCGGCCACACUGGGACUGAGACACGGCCCAGACUCCUACGGGAGGCAGCAGUAGGGAAUCUUCCGCAAUGGACGAAAGUCUGACGGAGCAACGCCGCGUGAGUGAUGAAGGUUUUCGGAUCGUAAAGCUCUGUUGUUAGGGAAGAACAAGUGCAAGAGUAACUGCUUGCACCUUGACGGUACCUAACCAGAAAGCCACGGCUAACUACGUGCCAGCAGCCGCGGUAAUACGUAGGUGGCAAGCGUUGUCCGGAAUUAUUGGGCGUAAAGGGCUCGCAGGCGGUUUCUUAAGUCUGAUGUGAAAGCCCCCGGCUCAACCGGGGAGGGUCAUUGGAAACUGGGAAACUUGAGUGCAGAAGAGGAGAGUGGAAUUCCACGUGUAGCGGUGAAAUGCGUAGAGAUGUGGAGGAACACCAGUGGCGAAGGCGACUCUCUGGUCUGUAACUGACGCUGAGGAGCGAAAGCGUGGGGAGCGAACAGGAUUAGAUUUUUGUUUAUUCAAA
RNAcentral lists this ribosomal RNA (764 nucleotides) under Bacillus pumilus. RNAcentral's name for it is "bacterial SSU rRNA". It matches the Rfam family "Bacterial small subunit ribosomal RNA", at positions 51 to 799 of the family's 1533-position model. Lineage: Bacteria; Bacillati; Bacillota; Bacilli; Caryophanales; Bacillaceae. The record is from RNAcentral.